GGUUUAUUGAAAUUUAAUUUUAAAUCAAAUCUGCUCAAUGAAUUUAAUUUAAAUAGCUGCAGUAUAAUUAACUGUACAAAGGUAGCAUAAUAAAUAGAUUUUUAAUUAAAAUCUAGAAUGAAAGAUUUAAUGAAAUAUAAACUUUAUUAAUUUAAAUUUAAAUUAAAUUUAUUUAUUAAGUAAAAAUACUUAAAUAAAAUAUAUAGACGAGAAGACCCUAUAAAAUUUUAUAUAUAUAAAUAAAUAUUUUAUAAAUUAUUUUUUAAAUAAUUUAUUUAUAAAUAUUUAAUUGGGGAAAUUAAAAAAUUUAAUUAAUUUUUUUUAAUUAAUUUACAAUAAAUUAAAUGAAAUGCAUUUUUGAACUUUAUAAAUUUAUAAAUAUAAAAAAAUAAAUUACUUUAGGGAUAACAGCAUAAUUUUUUUUAAAAGUUCAUAUUUAAAAAAAAGUUUAU
RNAcentral lists this ribosomal RNA (452 nucleotides) under Urosigalphus sp. Malaise3422. RNAcentral's name for it is "partial 16S ribosomal RNA". The record is from RNAcentral. Lineage: Eukaryota; Metazoa; Arthropoda; Insecta; Hymenoptera; Braconidae.